Molecule: ribosomal RNA, 253 nt
Filed under: uncultured bacterium
Lineage: Bacteria
Description: partial 16S ribosomal RNA
Rfam family: Bacterial small subunit ribosomal RNA
Source: RNAcentral
GACAGAGGGUGCAAACGUUGUUCGGAAUUACUGGGCGUAAAGCGCGUGUAGGCGGCUCUGCAAGUCGGGUGUGAAAGCCCUCGGCUCAACCGAGGAAGUGCACUCGAAACUGCAGAGCUGGAGUCCCGGAGAGGAUGGUGGAAUUCUCGGUGUAGAGGUGAAAUUCGUAGAUAUCGAGAGGAACACCGGUGGCGAAGGCGGCCAUCUGGACGGUGACUGACGCUGAGACGCGAAAGCGUGGGGAGCAAACAGG